RNAcentral lists this ribosomal RNA (301 nucleotides) under uncultured bacterium. RNAcentral's name for it is "partial 16S ribosomal RNA". It matches the Rfam family "Bacterial small subunit ribosomal RNA", at positions 509 to 808 of the family's 1533-position model. The record is from RNAcentral.
CAGCAGCCGCGGUAAUACGUAGGGUGCAAGCGUUAUCCGGAAUUAUUGGGCGUAAAGAGCUCGUAGGCGGUUUGUCGCGUCUGCUGUGAAAACUGGAGGCUCAACCUCCAGCCUGCAGUGGGUACGGGCAGACUAGAGUGCGGUAGGGGAGAUUGGAAUUCCUGGUGUAGCGGUGGAAUGCGCAGAUAUCAGGAGGAACACCGAUGGCGAAGGCAGAUCUCUGGGCCGUAACUGACGCUGAGGAGCGAAAGCAUGGGGAGCGAACAGGAUUAGAUACCCCCAGUAGUCCCUGUCUCUUAUA